GUGUUGAAAUAUUUGAUGUCACUACUGCUUUGCCAACCAAAUGGACAUUGCACACGGCUCCCCUCUAAGUAAAGCCAUGUAAGUUGAAAUUAACUCGCACUUGCCAAAAUUAAAAAAAAUUCUGCCCACAUCACUCCUAACGGCAGCUGCUCCAGUCCAGGGCUUCAAACGCUAAUGGAGACACUGAAGAUGCUCCAAAGCUUCCCUCUGUGUCAGUGAGUCCCUCUGCUGAGAUAGUGGAGGGCAGUUCAGUGACUCUGACCUGCAGCAGUGAUGCUAACCCAGCAGCUAAUUAUACCUGGUACAAGGAGAACCAAACACUGAUUCAGGGACCAGGAGACAUUUAUCAUUUCACCUCUAUCAGCUCUAAGGACAGCGGGAUCUACCACUGCAAGGCUGAGAAUGAGUAUGGCCAGAUCAACUCCACAUCUGUAUCCAUAGAUGUCCAGUAUGCUCCAAAGCUUCCCUCUGUGUCAGUGAGUCCCUCUGCUGAGAUAGUGGAGGGCAGUUCAGUGACUCUGACCUGCAGCAGUGAUGCUAACCCAGCAGCUAAAUACACCUGGUACAAGGAGAACCAAACACUGAUUCAGGGACCAGAGGACAUUUAUCAUUUCACCUCUAUCAGCUCUAAGGACAGCGGGAUCUACCACUGCAAGGCUGAGAAUGAGUAUGGCCAGAUCAACUCCACAUCUGUAUCCAUAGAUGUCCAGUAUGCUCCAAAGCUUCCCUCUGUGUCAGUGAGUCCCUCUGCUGAGAUAGUGGAGGGCAGU
Molecule: long non-coding RNA, 770 nt
Organism: Micropterus salmoides (largemouth bass)
Lineage: Eukaryota; Metazoa; Chordata; Actinopteri; Centrarchiformes; Centrarchidae
Exons: 4
Source: RefSeq, a predicted model, not a curated record